UAACUUGUUCUUCGAGAUGUUGC
Molecule: microRNA, 23 nt
Filed under: Chrysemys picta bellii (western painted turtle)
Lineage: Eukaryota; Metazoa; Chordata; Testudines; Emydidae
Also listed under: 1 other name
Description: Cpi-Mir-9583_3p (mature (co-guide))
Source: RNAcentral